GAGUCGCAGGGUUGUACGAAACCCGAAGGCGCAACGAAAGUGAAUCGAGUCGUCAGAUUCGGUAGGUGGGAUCCCGUCGUACGGCUUCGCGGCCGAAUGCGGCGGGCGCACCACCGGCCUGUCUCUGCCGCUACGUCGGCGAGACGGAGCAAGAGCGUACGCGUUGGGACCCGAAAGAUGGUGAACUAUGCCUGAGGAGGAUGAAGCCAGAAGAAAUUCUGGUGGAGGUCCGCAGCGAUUCUGACGUGCAAAUCGA
This 256-nucleotide ribosomal RNA is filed under the name Limnatis nilotica. Its description in RNAcentral is "partial 28S ribosomal RNA". It matches the Rfam family "Eukaryotic large subunit ribosomal RNA", at positions 688 to 901 of the family's 3401-position model. The record is from RNAcentral. Lineage: Eukaryota; Metazoa; Annelida; Clitellata; Hirudinida; Hirudinidae.